GAAAUGCGAUAAGUAAUGUGAAUUGCAGAAUUCAGUGAAUCAUCGAAUCUUUGAACGCACCUUGCGCUCCCUGGUAUUCCGGGGAGCAUGCCUGUUUGAGUGUCAUGAAUCUCUCAACCUAUUAGAUUGCAAAAUCGAAGUAGUGUUGGACUUGGAGGCUUGCUGGCCUAGUCAGCUCCUCUCAAAUGCAUUAGCUAUGGAUCGCGCGGCAAUUAGAUCUACGGUGUGAUACAUGUCUUACCUAUGGAUCGAAAGCUAUAAUCACCGCUUCGGCAGUGUAUACUUUAUUGUGUACCGUGUGAUGAGUGAAUACAAAGCUUCUAAUCGUCUGUAACGGACAACUCUUUUGACAUCUGACCUCAAAUCAGGUAGGACUACCCGCUGAACUUAA
RNAcentral lists this unclassified non-coding RNA (391 nucleotides) under uncultured fungus. Its description in RNAcentral is "sequence contains ITS1". The stretch from base 1 to 105 matches the Rfam family "5.8S ribosomal RNA", at positions 50 to 154 of the family's 154-position model. The record is from RNAcentral. Lineage: Eukaryota; Fungi.